AGAGCAGAAGUGUGUGGAGGCUCGUGUUGUGUGGCAGAGCUGCUGUGUAGCUCAGCUCACCAGAGGGCGCUGUUGAGUCUGUUUGCUGCAUGCAGCUCUGAGUGACUUUACACCAUGUUACACAGGUGCUGAGAGCAUGGCUGCAAGAGAGACCCUGUUUUUGCACAACUACAGAUUUAGCUGAUCUCUGAGAUCUGGGAGCUGUCAUGAAAGAUUAUGGGAAUUAUCAGCCAAAGAUUUUGGUGGAAAACGGCUCGAUACGUUGACGUCACUGCUUCCGGUUCAUGGAUCACCGGUCUGUCCUUCGAUACGGUGGGAUUCAAUCAAAUAAUAAGCUUCAAACAUCAAAGCUCACCGUUCAGCAGCCGACUCAACUCAAGCCCCAGAUGUCAGACCCUCCUGAUGAACUACUCCCAUUCCAUAUGUUCUUCCCACCAACACCUGCGAUAACAACUGCUAAGGCACGGCUGCAAGAUGUGGAUCUGACCCAGACUAUGAUGGAGUUUGGAUUACAGAGAAUGCUUCAGUUAAGCUAAAUAAGACCCAACAGGACGCUACCGGAUCUAAAGCGAGAACAAUGCCUUAUUAAGGAUGGUACGGAGUGUCUUGAAGCCCAUGGCGAUGUCGAGCAGAUGGGCGGCAAAGAAGAAGUUGUUGUAGUGACCCAGGAUGGACAUGGUCAUAUACCAGGCCAGAUACAGGAAGGACUGCAGGGAGCGAGGGAGGGAGAGCUUCCAGAUCUGGUACUUGACAUCAAUGGAGUUCAGCCUGAUGACAGAGGGAGAAGAGGCUCACAGAGGGGCGAUCAUGUGUGACACCAUAUGACCAGAAGCUGAGCCUCUGAAGGAGACCCUUCCUUUCAGGGUGAAUAAACG
This is a long non-coding RNA of Sebastes umbrosus (honeycomb rockfish), 875 nucleotides long. RefSeq lists it as uncharacterized. NCBI's taxonomy places the organism in Eukaryota, Metazoa, Chordata, Actinopteri, Perciformes, Sebastidae. The record is from RefSeq and is a predicted model, not a curated record. The transcript is spliced from 8 exons.